RNAcentral lists this ribosomal RNA (478 nucleotides) under uncultured bacterium. RNAcentral's name for it is "partial 16S ribosomal RNA". It matches the Rfam family "Bacterial small subunit ribosomal RNA", at positions 28 to 523 of the family's 1533-position model. The record is from RNAcentral.
GACGGACGCUGGCGGCGUGCUUAACACAUGCAAGUCGAACGGUAAGGCCCUUCGGGGUACACGAGUGGCGAACGGGUGAGUAACACGUGGGUGAUCUGCCCUGCACUUCGGGAUAAGCCUGGGAAACUGGGUCUAAUACCGGAGAGGACCACUGCCUGCAUGGGUGGUGGUGGAAAGCUUUUGCGGUGUGGGACGGGCCCGCGGCCUAUCAGCUUGUUGGUGGGGUGAUGGCCUACCAAGGCGACGACGGGUAGCCGGCCUGAGAGGGUGACCGGCCACACUGGGACUGAGAUACGGCCCAGACUCCUACGGGAGGCAGCAGUGGGGAAUAUUGCACAAUGGGCGCAAGCCUGAUGCAGCGACGCCGCGUGAGGGAUGACGGCCUUCGGGUUGUAAACCUCUUUCAGCACCGACGAAGCGCAAGUGACGGUAGGUGCAGAAGAAGGACCGGCCAACUACGUGCCAGCCGCCGCCGUAA